RNAcentral lists this ribosomal RNA (2921 nucleotides) under marine metagenome. RNAcentral's name for it is "bacterial LSU rRNA". It matches the Rfam family "Bacterial large subunit ribosomal RNA". The record is from RNAcentral.
UCAAGUUAUUAAGAGCACAUGGGGGAUGUCUUGGUGUCAGAAGGCGAUGAAGGGCGUGGAAGACUGCGAAAAGCCAAGGGAAGUUGUCAAACAAACGUCGAUCCUUGGAUUCCUGAAUGACUUAUGCUGAAUACAUAGGCAUAAGUGGCUAACCCGGUGAACUGAAACAUCUAAGUAACCGGAGGAGAAGAAAGAAAAAUCGAUUCCCUUAGUAGCGGCGAGCGAAACGGGAAUAGCCCAAACCUUGGAGGUUUCCUCUGAGGGGUAGUAGGGCUCUUCACAUGAGAAAUCAACUUACGAGUAGAAUGGUCUGGAAAGGCCAACCACAGAGGGUGACAGUCCCGUAACCGAAGUAAUGUUGAGAGUAUCGAAGAGUUCCUGAGUAGGUCGGGUCACGUGGAACCCCGACUGAAUCUGCGGGGACCAUCCCGUAAGGCUAAAUACUCUCUGACAACCGAUAGUGAACUCAGUAGGGUGACUGAAAGAUGAGAAGAACCCCUGUUAGGGGAGGAUAGUGCACCUGAAACCAUGUGCUUACAAGCGGUCGGAGCGCUAUGACAUUUGCUUGCAAAUGUAAUGCGUGACGGCGUGCCUUUUGCAUAAUGAUCCGGCGAGUUACCGUCUGCGGCUGGCGAAGGCCUUACGGGCAACAGCCCCAGGGAAACCGAGUCUUAAUAGGGCGAAUUAUAGUCGUAGGUGGUAGACGCGAAACUGCGUGAUCUACCCAUGGACAGGUUGAAGCGCGGGUUAAACCGCGUGGAGGACCGAACCCACUUAGGUUGAAAACUGAGGGGAUGAUCUGUGGGGAGGAGUGAAAGUCUAAUCAAACGCAGAGAUAGCUCGUUCUCUCCGAAAUAUCUUUAGGGAUAGCCUUGAGCCACUACGCAUCGGGGGUAGAGAGACUGAAUCGGAUGGGGGCCCUUUCCGGGGUACCCCACUGAACCAAACUCCGAAUACCGAUGCGAUUAUCUCAGGAGUCAGUCCGUGGGGGAUAAGCCUCGCGGUCGAGAGGGAAACAACCCAGACCAUCUGCUAAGGUCCCUAAGAAAUGCUCAGUCACUAAGGAAGUUGAGUUACUGUGACAGCCAGGAUGUUGGCUUAGAAGCAGCCACCAUUUAAAAAGUGCGUAACAGCUUACUGGUCGAUGUAACUCUGCGCCGAUAAUGAACGGGAGUAAGCAUUUCACCGAAGCAGUGGAUUGUAGACGUCUGCGGACGUCUACAGUGGUAGGAGAGCGCUGUACACCAGAUACAAGCCGUACCGAAAGGAGCGGUGUCGGGGUGUACAGGUGAUUAUGCCGGAAUGAGUAACGAUAAAGCAGGUGAGAAUCCUGCUCGCCGAAAGCCUAAGGUUUCCUGGGGAAGGCAAUUCCGCCCAGGGUUAGCCGGUUCCUAAGUCAAGGCCGAAAGGCGUAGACGAUGGAUAGCAGGUCAACAUUCCUGCGCCACAAGUGUGGACCGAUGGAGGGACGGCAUCCAGAUGGUGUAAAGCACGAUUAGAUUGUGCAUCGAAAGCUUUGAGGUGAGAGAUAGGAAAAUCCGUCUCUCGUAAGCCAAGAAGCCGAAGGGGGGAUUAUUCCCGAAUUCAUCUGAAGGAUGUCCAAGAAAAGCUUCUAAGGGUUGAUACACUUGUGACCGUACUAAAACUGACACAGGUAGGCGGGUCGAGUAGACCAAGGCGCUCGGGAGAACACUGGUUAAGGAACUCUGCAAAAUGGCCCCGUAAGUUCGCGAUAAGGGGUGCCUCUGGGGGUUCACGCUUCUGGAGGCCACAGAAAAUCGGCUUCUGCGACUGUUUAUCAAAAACACAGGACUCUGCUAACUCGCAAGAGGAUGUAUAGAGUCUGACGCCUGCCCGGUGCCGGUAGGUUAAGGAAGGCGGUUAGCACUUCGGUGUGAAGCUGACGACCGAAGCCCCGGUAAACGGCGGCCGUAACUAUGACGGUCCUAAGGUAGCGAAGUUCCUUGUCGGGUAAGUUCCGACCUGCAUGAAAGGCGUAACGACAGGAGCACUGUCUCAACCACCGACCCGGUGAAAUUGUAGUUGUGGUGAAGAUGCCACAUACCCGCGGUUAGACGGAAAGACCCCGUGAACCUUUACUGUAGGCUGAUAUUGGGCUGUGAUAUGUUCUGUGUAGGAUAGGUGGGAGACUUUGAAGCGUAGGCGCCAGCUUACGUGGAGUCAUCCUUGAAAUACCACCCUGGAUAUGCUUUAUUUCUAACUUUGAUCCCGUGAAUCCGGGCAAAGGACAGUGUCAGUUGGGCAGUUUGACUGGGGCGGUCUCCUCCUAAAAUGUAACGGAGGAGUACAAAGGUACCCUCAGCCUGGUUGGCAAUCAGGCGUAGAGCGUAAAGGUAAAAGGGUGCUUGACUGCGAGACCCAUAAGUCGAGCAGGUACGAAAGUAGGUCUUAGUGAUCCGGUGGUUCCGUAUGGAAGGGCCAUCGCUCAUCAGAUAAAAGGUACUCCGGGGAUAACAGGCUUAUCGCCACCGAGCGUCCAAAGCGGCGUGGCGGUUUGGCACCUCGAUGUCGGCUCAUCACAUCCUGGGGGUGAAGAAGCUCCCAAGGGUUUGGCUGUUCGCCAAUGAAAGUGGUACGUGAGCUGGGUUCAGACCGUCGUGAGACAGGUCGGUCCCUAUCUGCCGUGGGCGUACGAAACUUGAGGAGAUUCUUCUUUAGUACGAGAGGAUUUGGAAGGACGUAGCUCUGGUGUACCAGUUGUCGCGCUAGCGGCACGGCUGGAUAGCUAACUACGGAAAGGAUAAACGCUGAAAGCAUCUAAGCGUGAAGCCCGCUCCGAGAUAAGGUUUCGUAAGUGUUUACACGAGAGUCCCCUGGAAGACGACCAGGUUAAUAGGCCAGAUGUGUAAGCCCAGUAAUGGGUUCAGCUAACUGGUACUAAAGGACGAAAACUUGACCAC